GAUGAAGAACGUAGCGAAAUGCGAUAAGUAAUGUGAAUUGCAGAAUUCAGUGAAUCGUCGAAUCUUUGAACGCACAUUGCGCCCGCCAGUAUUCUGGCGGGCAUGCCUGUUCGAGCGUCAUUUCAACCAUCAAGCCCCGGGCUUGUGUUGGGGACCUGCGGCUGCCGCAGGCCCUGAAAUGCAGUGGCGGGCUCGCUGUCACUCCGAGCGUAGUAGUUACAUCUCGCUCUGGGCGUGCUGCGGGUUCCGGCCGUUAAAAGCCUUAUUUACCCAAGGUUGACCUCGGAUCAGGUAGGAAGACCCGCUGAACUUAAGCAUAUCAAUAAGCGGAGGA
This 334-nucleotide unclassified non-coding RNA is filed under the name soil metagenome. RNAcentral describes it as "partial contains 5.8S ribosomal RNA, internal transcribed spacer 2, and large subunit ribosomal RNA". The stretch from base 1 to 120 matches the Rfam family "5.8S ribosomal RNA", at positions 35 to 154 of the family's 154-position model. The record is from RNAcentral.